Molecule: long non-coding RNA, 205 nt
Filed under: Capsicum annuum
Lineage: Eukaryota; Viridiplantae; Streptophyta; Magnoliopsida; Solanales; Solanaceae
Description: long non-coding RNA (CANN_LNC000728)
Source: RNAcentral
CCCUAGUCACUUUAUAUCAUUUACAAGUUGUUGAGAUGGUUGACACAGUUUUCGAUGCAUUCGGAGGUGAUUUAUGUGAUUUUGUGGUUUUGCAUAGACUUUAAAGUGAACUGGUGGACUUUGAUCAAUAUAUUGUGAUUCGAGCAUUGGAUGAGAGUUUCAUCAAUUCCAUUAGAUCCAAAACAUCCAUUUUGGAAGACAUUUG